Notothenia coriiceps (black rockcod) is the source of this 571-nucleotide long non-coding RNA. RefSeq lists it as uncharacterized. Lineage: Eukaryota; Metazoa; Chordata; Actinopteri; Perciformes; Nototheniidae. The record is from RefSeq and is a predicted model, not a curated record. The transcript is spliced from 2 exons.
UCAUGGCUAGCUGUGGAUUAGGAGUUCAAUGUGAAGAUGACUGGAUCUUGUGGAGGCCCGGUACAUUCAGGCGACACUUGCCACUCGAUUCAGUGCAGAAGACUGUUAACAGUUCCAAGGAGAUUGCACAAGCUGCCACGCCACAGUUCGAAGCGCCUGGCCCUGGCCUACAUCUACAUCAUCUGCCACAGAGUGAUGAGUCUGAUCCCCAGAGACACCACCUGAGGCACACCUGCCAUACCAUCUGCCCACUCCCAUCCUGUGAGCCAUAUCUUCCGAUACCAUGGCGACAAAAGCCCUCAAAGCUCAUGGAUGUGUUGCGGUGAAAAGGAAAUGGGGUAAGGUCGAAAGAAAGCUUACAGAUGGUUCGGCAUAGUUGUUGGUGAUGUACCUCCAGUAAACACCCUGAAGGACCUGGGUAGACUCCAAGCUGAUGGAAAGUCGCCGAAGGACCAUUGUUCUAGGACCAAUAUUCCUCUGUCUUUCAAGAACAGACAGAGCCCUUGGAAAUAUUGUCCGUCGCAAAAGAUGGUUGUGGUCCUCUCGUUUACCCCAGCUUAGAAACAGAGUU